This is a long non-coding RNA of Lagopus muta (rock ptarmigan), 715 nucleotides long. RefSeq lists it as uncharacterized. Lineage: Eukaryota; Metazoa; Chordata; Aves; Galliformes; Phasianidae. The record is from RefSeq and is a predicted model, not a curated record. The transcript has 3 exons.
AGAACAGAGCCUGGCUCCACAUCUGGAAUGAUUUAAGGGUGACUGCCACUAAGGAAGGAUUUCUCUCUGGAGAUUGUUCCUCUUGGAGUUUUUUCUGUGAGCUUACAUGGGUCAACAUGAGGCACAGUGACAAAGGAGCAAGGAGGCUGUACUACAGCUACAUCUUGUGACAGUUUUACAUGGAGGAACUGAAGUCAAUCUGAUUGCUGACAGUGCAGAUCCCAGACAGUCAGAUCCCAGCGUAAUAGAAACUCAUUCUGUACUUUAGUAUACCCAGCAGAUGCAGAUUCACCUUUGGAACCAAAGUGGGAAGGGCCCUAUCAAGCGCUUUUGACCACUCAUACAGCGGCUAAGGUGGAAGGACUGAUCCCGUGGAUACACCAUACCUGCCUGAAGAAGAUCACUCACCUAGAUGAGUAACAUCUGUCUGCCACAGUUAAAGAGAUGCUGUGCCACGGGGAUUUGCCCCAAUUUGAGGCAAAGGUGCAAUUGCCUGGCAGUCUGGGCACAUUAAAAUAAUGUUGCAGGCUUGAUCCGCUCUCAGUUGGAAUUGCUUUUGUAAGGCUCUCCUAUUCUGAUGAAAAAAUUGAUGAGAGAGUUGAGCUUGCUGAAAUAAUUGAGAGGUAGCAAAGGUGACUGUGGCUUGAUCAGCCUUAUGUUUGCCCUCAGUUAAAGGAUCAGGCAAUGUAGUUUGUGAUUGAAUAUGCAUAAUGAA